AGUGAACGCUGGCGGUAGGCCUAACACAUGCAAGUCGAACGGCAGCACAGUAAGAGCUUGCUCUUACGGGUGGCGAGUGGCGGACGGGUGAGGAAUACAUCGGAAUCUACUUUUUCGUGGGGGAUAACGUAGGGAAACUUACGCUAAUACCGCAUACGACCUACGGGUGAAAGCAGGGGAUCUUCGGACCUUGCGCGAUUGAAUGAGCCGAUGUCGGAUUAGCUAGUUGGCGGGGUAAAGGCCCACCAAGGCGACGAUCCGUAGCUGGUCUGAGAGGAUGAUCAGCCACACUGGAACUGAGACACGGUCCAGACUCCUACGGGAGGCAGCAGUGGGGAAUAUUGGACAAUGGGCGCAAGCCUGAUCCAGCCAUACCGCGUGGGUGAAGAAGGCCUUCGGGUUGUAAAGCCCUUUUGUUGGGAAAGAAAAGCAGCAGGUUAAUACCCCGUCGUUCUGACGGUACCCAAAGAAUAAGCACCGGCUAACUUCGUG
RNAcentral lists this ribosomal RNA (492 nucleotides) under uncultured bacterium. RNAcentral's name for it is "partial 16S ribosomal RNA". It matches the Rfam family "Bacterial small subunit ribosomal RNA", at positions 29 to 507 of the family's 1533-position model. The record is from RNAcentral.